CUACGGAGGAUCCGAGCGUUAUCCGGAUUUAUUGGGUUUAAAGGGUGCGCAGGCGGGAGAUUAAGUCGGCGGUGAAAUUUUUCAGCUCAACUGUAAAAGGGCCUUCGAAACUGGUUUCCUUGAGUGUAGAUGAAGUAGGCGGAAUUUGUGGGGUAGCGGUGAAAUGCAUAGAUAUCACGAGGAACUCCGAUUGCGCAGGCAGCUUACUAAACUACUACUGACGCUCAGGCACGAAGGCGUGGGGAUCAAACAGGAUUAGAUACCCUGGUAGUCCACUCAGUAAACGAUGAUUACUAGCUGUUUGCGAUACAAUGUAAGCGGCUGAGCGAAAGCGUUAAGUAAUCCACCUGGGGAGUACGUUCGCAAGAAUGAAACUCAAAUGAAUUGACGGGG
This 393-nucleotide ribosomal RNA is filed under the name uncultured bacterium. RNAcentral's name for it is "partial 16S ribosomal RNA". It matches the Rfam family "Bacterial small subunit ribosomal RNA", at positions 523 to 918 of the family's 1533-position model. The record is from RNAcentral.